RNAcentral lists this ribosomal RNA (822 nucleotides) under uncultured bacterium. RNAcentral's name for it is "bacterial SSU rRNA". It matches the Rfam family "Bacterial small subunit ribosomal RNA", at positions 683 to 1504 of the family's 1533-position model. The record is from RNAcentral.
GAAAUGCAUAGAGNNNGGGAGGAACACCAGUGGCGAAGGCGGCCUGCUGGGCUUUAACUGACGCUGAGGCACGAAAGUAUGGGUAGCAAACAGGAUUAGAUACCCUGGUAGUCCAUACCGUAAACGAUGAUUACUAGGUGUGGGGGGUCUGACCCCCUCCGUGCCGGAGUUAACACAAUAAGUAAUCCACCUGGGGAGUACGGCCGCAAGGUUGAAACUCAAAGGAAUUGACGGGGGCCCGCACAAGCAGUGGAGUAUGUGGUUUAAUUCGAAGCAACGCGAAGAACCUUACCAAGUCUUGACAUCGUGACGACCGGAACUUAACCGUUCCCUCCCUUCGGGGCGUCAUAGACAGGUGGUGCAUGGUUGUCGUCAGCUCGUGUCGUGAGAUGUUGGGUUAAGUCCCGCAACGAGCGCAACCCUUAUUCUUAGUAGCCAGCGGAUAAAGCCGGGCACUCUAAGGAGACUGCCAGGGAUAACCUGGAGGAAGGUGGGGAUGACGUCAAAUCAUCAUGCCCCUUAUGAUUUGGGCUACACACGUGCUACAAUGGCGUAAACAAAGGGAAGCGAGAGGGAGACCUUAAGCGAAUCUCAAAAAUAACGUCUCAGUUCGGAUUGUAGUCUGCAACUCGACUACAUGAAGCUGGAAUCGCUAGUAAUCGCGAAUCAGAAUGUCGCGGUGAAUACGUUCCCGGGUCUUGUACACACCGCCCGUCACACCAUGGGAGUCGGAAAUGCCCGAAGCCAGUGACCCAACCGAAAGGAGGGAGCUGUCGAAGGCAGGUCUGAUAACUGGGGUGAAGUCGUAACAAGGUAGCCGUA